AAGGAGUCUAACAUGUGUGCGAGUGCUCGGGGUUCAACCCCCCAGCGCGUAAUGAAAGUAAAGAUGAGCUUCUGUUCAUUUAGGUAGGAGGCUUCGGCUGCACUAUCGACCGACCAUGAUUCUUUGGAUGAAAGGUUUGAGUGUGAGCAUACAUGUUGGGACCCGAAAGAUGGUGAACUAUGCUUGAGUAGGACGAAGCCAGGGGAAACUCUGGUGGAGGUCCGUAGCGAUUCUAACGUGCAAAUUGAUCGUCGAACUUGGGUAUAGGGGCGAAAGACUAAUCGAACCAUCUAGUAGCUGGUUCCUCC
Molecule: small RNA, 308 nt
Filed under: uncultured fungus
Lineage: Eukaryota; Fungi
Description: eukaryotic LSU rRNA
Rfam family: Eukaryotic large subunit ribosomal RNA
Source: RNAcentral